Molecule: ribosomal RNA, 512 nt
Filed under: uncultured bacterium
Lineage: Bacteria
Description: partial 16S ribosomal RNA
Rfam family: Bacterial small subunit ribosomal RNA
Source: RNAcentral
GAUGAACGCUGGCGGCGUGCCUAAUACAUGCAAGUCGAACGAAACUUCUUUAUCACCGAGUGCUUGCACUCACCGAUAAAGAGUUGAGUGGCGAACGGGUGAGUAACACGUGGGCAACCUGCCCAAAAGAGGGGGAUAACACUUGGAAACAGGUGCUAAUACCGCAUAACCAUAGUUACCGCAUGGUAACUAUGUAAAAGGUGGCUAUACUACCGCCUUUGGAUGGGCCCGCGGCGCAUUAGCUAGUUGGUAGGGUAAAGGCUUACCAAGGCAAUGAUGCGUAGCCGAAUUGAGAGGUUGAUCGGCCACAUUGGGACUGAGACACGGCCCAAACUCCUACGGGAGGCAGCAGUAGGGAAUCUUCCACAAUGGGCGAAAGCCUGAUGGAGCAACGCCGCGUGGGUGAAGAAGGUCUUCGGAUCGUAAAACCCUGUUGUUAGAGAAGAAAGUGCGUGAGAGUAACUGUUCACGUUUCGACGGUAUCUAACCAGAAAGCCGCGGCUAACUACGUG